This 301-nucleotide ribosomal RNA is filed under the name uncultured bacterium. Its description in RNAcentral is "partial 16S ribosomal RNA". It matches the Rfam family "Bacterial small subunit ribosomal RNA", at positions 509 to 807 of the family's 1533-position model. The record is from RNAcentral.
CAGUCGCCGCGGGAAUACGUAGGGUGCGAGCGUUAAUCGGAAUUACUGGGCGUAAAGCGUGCGCAGGCGGUUCGUUAAGACAGAUGUGAAAUCCCCGGGUUUAACCUGGGAACUGCAUUUGUGACUGGCGGGCUAGAGUAUGGCAGAGGGGGGUAGAAUUCCACGUGUAGCAGUGAAAUGCGUAGAGAUGUGGAGGAAUACCGAUGGCGAAGGCAGCCCCCUGGGCCAAUACUGACGCUCAUGCACGAAAGCGUGGGGAGCAGACAGGAUUAGAUACCCCCGUAGUCCCUGUCUCUUAUAC